Molecule: long non-coding RNA, 745 nt
Organism: Carassius auratus (goldfish)
Lineage: Eukaryota; Metazoa; Chordata; Actinopteri; Cypriniformes; Cyprinidae
Exons: 3
Source: RefSeq, a predicted model, not a curated record
AUUGACUCCAAUGGAACGCUUUUUUUUACAGCAAUGGCGGCUCGUGGAGCCUCUAAAUAGUUCCCGGAAGUAGCAGCAAACCGAUGCCGCGCCGUAGAGAUGCAGCAGAACAAACCGUUCGCGACGCACUUUUAACAGACCCAGGUAACUGGCUGAUGGUUCAAUGGAAUGCUGGCUGACUUGCUGCUGGUUGACUGGGCAGUGUCACCUGUCCCUGUCUCUCCUCUCUAGCCAUGUCCUUUUUCUUCACUCUCACUUUCCCUUCUCUGAGUGUCCUUGUUCUUUUUUCCUCAACCUUUGAAACUGAUAGAGGUAGAAUACAUGGUUUUGCUAAUUUUAAAUAUUGAAAAUAUCACAUCACUUUACUAGUACGAGUUUGUACUUAUUAUAUAUGAAUCACCUGAAAUAACAGCUGUAAUCAGUAGCCCUUUCUUGUAUGUUCACAGGUCUAGGGGUGCAUCGUGGAGCAGGGCCCUCCUCUUUUUGACCACAGGACAAUGUACAAAGAUUGUGGGAAUAGCAUCUGCGGGGAAGCCAUACAUUCGCACACCUUUCUCUGACUGAGUGGAGCAUCCCCAUGCAGCACUGUAAACCACGGUGGAGACUAUGCAAGGACAACAUGAAAGAAAGGACACAUACAAAAUGCUUGUCAUGCUAUUACAUUUAUUAGAAAUGUAUUAAUGAAUUGCUGUAAAUAGUUAAUUGUAUAAUUACAAUUUAAAAUAACUGUUUUCUAUUUUAAAAU